RNAcentral lists this ribosomal RNA (425 nucleotides) under uncultured bacterium. Its description in RNAcentral is "partial 16S ribosomal RNA". It matches the Rfam family "Bacterial small subunit ribosomal RNA", at positions 354 to 796 of the family's 1533-position model. The record is from RNAcentral.
GUGAGGAAUUUUGCGCAAUGGGGGCAACCCUGACGCAGCGACGCCGCGUGGAGGACGAAGUCUUUCGGGAUGUAAACUCCUGUCAGUGGGGACGAUAAUGACGGUACCCACAGAGGAAGCACCGGCUAACUCCGUGCCAGCAGCCGCGGUAAGACGGAGGGUGCAAGCGUUGUUCGGAAUUACUGGGCGUAAAGCGUAUGUAGGCGGCAAGUUAAGUUCAAUGUUAAAGCCCACGGCUCAACCGAGGAGAUGCAUUGAAUACUGGCUAGCUAGAGGGUGUUAGAGGAAGACGGAAUUCCCAGUGUAGCGGUGAAAUGCGUAGAUAUUGGGAGGAACAUCGGUAGCGAAAGCGGUCUUCUGGGACAUACCUGACGCUGAGGUACGAAAGCGUGGGGAGCAAACAGGAUUAGAAACCCUUGUAGUCC